Long non-coding RNA from Cyprinus carpio carpio, 941 nucleotides. The record is from Ensembl. NCBI's taxonomy places the organism in Eukaryota, Metazoa, Chordata, Actinopteri, Cypriniformes, Cyprinidae.
CUGGAGUCUCAUUCAAACGCUGGAGGCCUUGAGCGGAGGAAGUUGCCAUGGAAACGGGGCGACAACACCAACUGACAAACUUCCCUCGCAGCUGUUUUCACUUCUUUCAGAAACCUUUGAAAGGGUCCGUUAGCAUCUCAACUGUUUUCAGGCUAGAUUCUUCUAUGAUGAUGGCAGUUCAGCAGAGUUGGAGCAGACCUCCUCUCGGACAACAUCUCUAAGUGCUAUGAACAAUAUGACUAAUCUGGAGAUCACUUUGGUAGGAUCCAACCCUGUGAGCGAGAGAGAAAACAAGAGAGCGAGAGAACCAGCAAAGCAAGACACACACUAUAUGUCUCAAGACGUAACACAUUUUUAAAAUAUAUUCAAUUAGAAUACAGAGAGUCCCCACAAGGAUAGUAAACCAGACAUGUGUGUGUGUGUGUGUGUGUGUGUGUGUGUGUGUGUGUGUGUGUGUGUGUGUGUGUGUGUGUGUGUGUGUGUGUCUGUGUGUGUCUUUAAUUAAGAAAUGUAAUUCUAUGAAUUACAUCAAUUUAAUUUUGGUGGUGUUUGGUAGAGUCACUUAACACUAAUGUACUAAUCGUAAGUGUGUGCAGUAGUUUACUGGUACUUAAUGUUAUGGAUUUGAACAAAUCCACAAUUCUUAAGUUAUUAUAUACACACACACACACACACACACACACACACACAUAUAAACAACUUUACAAAACCUGUCAAUUUUACAGUUUAAUACUGUUAAAUUGUACAAAAUUGUAAUAAAAUAAAAUAAAUAGAAUAAAUCCAACAGCCAAUAAAUCCUUUUCUGAUAAAUUAGCAUUAGCUAAGCUCUGUAGCUAAACUACCAUAAUAACACCGGUGGUAAAGAGAAAGACACAUGAAGAAUUAAACUUUAUCUCCAAAAGCUUUUCCACAUGCUGAGCUAUACAAAUAUAUAAAAGGUG